Suricata suricatta (meerkat) is the source of this 1198-nucleotide long non-coding RNA. RefSeq lists it as uncharacterized. The record is from RefSeq and is a predicted model, not a curated record. The transcript is spliced from 4 exons. Lineage: Eukaryota; Metazoa; Chordata; Mammalia; Carnivora; Herpestidae.
GCUUCCUCUUUCCUUCAUUCUCCUGUACUGCCUUUGGGUCUCCCUGCAGGGCUGUGUUUGCACGAUCUUGUUUUCUUUCCCAGCUUCCCUAUCUUUACUCUUUCUCUCAGCUGAGCUCCCACCUCCGUUCUCUCUCAAGAUCUCCCUCUUCUUUGCAGCUUUCAUCAACUUCCAUGAGAAAGGAGGGCACACCACCAAAAAGAGUUUUGUAACGACUCUCUUGAGUUGGCUGGAUCCUCCUCCAUUACAAAGUACUCUUAAAAUCAAAGCUAACUUGAUUCACAAGGACCAAGAAGGGCAAUGUUAGAAGCUGGGGUUCUCCAAGCAAGUAGACCACAAAUGUGGACAUGGACAGCCCCAUAUGUCACUUCUAAGCCUAGGAAAGUUUUGACAUCCAUCUUCUACCUCCACCCUUUGUUUACCUCUGCUUUUCAAUAAUUUUGAGUUAAUUCAUUUGAGCUUUCAAGAAUACUUCCAUCAGCUGAAGAAGAAACUUCAUAUCCAUUAGCAAAAUACUGAUCCAUGCUAGAACAUGAAUGAACCUUGAAAACAGGUCGUAUCUAAGGGACCAUUGCCUGAUCCAACAUCAUGGAGAAUUAUAUCUCUGUCUGUCUUUAAGAGUUUUAUAGUUUUAACCACCUUAGGUCUUUUUCAUUUUAAUGUGUACAUCUGGUGUGAGGUAGGGAUCCGACCUCACUCUUUUGUGUAUAGAUACCCAGUUGUCCCAGCACUAUUUGCUGACAAGGUUAUUCAAUCCCCCAUUGAAUUAUCUUGGCACCCUAAGCUGAAAAAAUUUAAUUAGCUGUUAUUUUUGUGUUUGUAAGUGACCUUGGUAUAUUUACUUUUUUUAGUGCCAUUUUUGUCAGGCACUGUUAUCACAUUUCUAUAUAAGUGUCAUAAAAUGAGUUACAUCUUUUUCUAUGGUUUGAGAAAACAAAAGGUCUAAAGUAGUUCAAGAUCUACAUGGUUCAAGCCCCCUGGAGGGGUUCUCCUUACGCACUCUGAUACUUACAUUAUUUGGUGGCAGUCCCAGGCUUCUGCAAAGUGAUGAGUUUAAACAACAAAUGAAUACUUAACCCAGCUGAGUUUAAGCUGUAUUUUAAGAAUAAGUCACUACUUAAGAACACUUGUAUCCCUUCCUUCCCCCAUCCAUGUCAGCUUAAGUUAUCCUUUACAUUAAAAGUUUGCUUACCCAGGG